GGGGUUGUGGCUCAGGGGUAGAGCACUCGCCUACCAUGUGUGAGGCACUGGGUUCAAUCCUCAGCACCA
Molecule: transfer RNA, 69 nt
Filed under: Ictidomys tridecemlineatus (thirteen-lined ground squirrel)
Lineage: Eukaryota; Metazoa; Chordata; Mammalia; Rodentia; Sciuridae
Description: Spermophilus tridecemlineatus (thirteen-lined ground squirrel) tRNA
Rfam family: tRNA
About the family: Transfer RNA (tRNA) molecules are approximately 80 nucleotides in length.
Source: Rfam by way of RNAcentral